AAGUACUUGCAAAGUCAGAGUGUGAUCGAGAUGGGAUUGACCACUCCAAGAGUUGGAGAAGAAUGAGUCGCUGUAUUUUAAUUUAGCAAAAUCUUGGCCAGGGUAAUCCAUCAGAUGGAUUUGAUAUUUUGAAAUACAAUGUGGACAACCUGAUCAGAGUUGAUAGUUGAACUCUGAGGUGUCCUAUGAUCAUUUUGGUCA
This 201-nucleotide long non-coding RNA is filed under the name Elaeis guineensis (African oil palm). RNAcentral describes it as "long non-coding RNA (EGUI_LNC061640)". Lineage: Eukaryota; Viridiplantae; Streptophyta; Magnoliopsida; Arecales; Arecaceae. The record is from RNAcentral.